Ipomoea nil (Japanese morning glory) is the source of this 73-nucleotide transfer RNA. It matches the Rfam family "tRNA". From Rfam's summary of the family: Transfer RNA (tRNA) molecules are approximately 80 nucleotides in length. Their secondary structure includes four short double-helical elements and three loops (D, anti-codon, and T loops). Further hydrogen bonds mediate the characteristic L-shaped molecular structure. tRNAs have two regions of fundamental functional importance: the anti-codon, which is responsible for specific mRNA codon recognition, and the 3' end, to which the tRNAs corresponding amino acid is attached (by aminoacyl-tRNA synthetases). tRNAs cope with the degeneracy of the genetic code in two manners: having more than one tRNA (with a specific anti-codon) for a particular amino acid; and 'wobble' base-pairing, i.e. permitting non-standard base-pairing at the 3rd anti-codon position. NCBI's taxonomy places the organism in Eukaryota, Viridiplantae, Streptophyta, Magnoliopsida, Solanales, Convolvulaceae. The record is from Rfam.
GAGGAUGUAGCUCAGGUGGUAGAGCGCUUGCUUAGCAUGCGAGAGGUACAGGGAUCGAUACCCCACAUCUCCA